UAUUGAGAUUUCGUGCUUUUAAUAAUUCCAUUAUUUUCUGGCGGUAGAAGAAUUUGGUUGAAUACUUAUUAAAAAAUUAAGUUUAUUUUACUACCUUUCUGUACAUUUGGUUCAUCAAUUGGUGCUCAUAAUCGGACUUUGUUUCAUGAAGGCAUCAAUUAAUUUGUUGGAAUAUUUAUAUUCCCUUGAUAAUUAAAGGCGGAAAAUAACAAAGCGUGACAGAUAACCUCAAAAUCUUCGAGGUCAGAACGUAGGGAAACAAUGGUGUGAAAUUAUUCAUAAUUCCGCCAAGUUGGUUUAAUAAACUUGAGCUUGAGGCGGAUGUUCAUCAGGUGAGGACCGCAACGUCGUCUUCUCGGGAAGGAAGGAGUUAUAAAUACGUCGAGGAAGACACCGUUCAGGGGUUAGUUACGUACAACGUUCUCUCUGGAUUAUUUGCAUAUCUAAAGCUUGGGUUCGCCAUUCACUUGAUUCAACUCGGGUUGAGCCAAAUAACAAAUUUUAAAAGGAAAAAGGCUGAUGCACAUAUGGAAGACCGUGAAACCUAACCUAACCUAACCUAACCUAAAACGUGCGAUAUUCCACGCAGAACCGACACGGCACGCCAGUUCAUGUAAUAUCAGGUUCAUAAUAAUAUGUAAAUGAAGAGCUGCGGCUUAUCAGGGAUCUUCGGAGAAAAACUGAAAGAUGGUUUACAAAGAGGAAGGUUUAAAAGGUUGCAGCAGGUGAAGAAGUACGAUGUGCCGACGGUAUUGUCUGGCCGUUUUAAGGAAGUUGCAGCGUCGAGAACAAUGCAAACAGAAAAUGGAUAAUUAUUGGACUGUAAAUUGCAAAGGGGUACUCGGUAAUUUAUGUUAAUUUCGAUCGUAAAGUAAAUUCCUGCGGAGGUACCUGGUACCCGUACCAAACCUAAAACACAAUGGGGGAAUUUACUAGAAAUCAUUAUAACCAUACUCGGUCGGUAACGAACUCUGCAUUAGUUGUCGGUAAAAAAAAUCUUAACCUACAAAUUUUACUUCUUACUCUUUUUAUAUCAAUUUUAAUUUAUUUCAAACUACAAUAAACAAACAUAAUCUCUCCGUCGUUUA
Cephus cinctus (wheat stem sawfly) is the source of this 1088-nucleotide long non-coding RNA. RefSeq lists it as uncharacterized. The record is from RefSeq and is a predicted model, not a curated record. The transcript has 4 exons. Lineage: Eukaryota; Metazoa; Arthropoda; Insecta; Hymenoptera; Cephidae.